Molecule: long non-coding RNA, 995 nt
Filed under: Ananas comosus (pineapple)
Lineage: Eukaryota; Viridiplantae; Streptophyta; Magnoliopsida; Poales; Bromeliaceae
Description: long non-coding RNA (ACOM_LNC036190)
Source: RNAcentral
AAGAGAGCAAGUCGAUAGGGAGCAAAAUAAAGAAAGUCCUAUCCUGAUAUCAGAGCAAUGUACAAGUUGAUAUACUAUCAGUAAAAGAACAAAGAGUAUACAAUCCAAAAUUUCAACAAAUGGAGAAGAAGUAUGAACUAUAACAUCUGGAUCUACAACUCUUAUACAACACAGGGUACACAAAAAUAUCUGUACAAUGGUAGUCACUCUAUACAAUGGACAUCACCCUCGGCCGUAGCCCGAGUAGCAAGGUGUCGACUAGCACGCUCCUAGCAAAGUCUAGCUAGACGCGACUCCCUUGCCACGAUCCCUAGCCUCUCCCGUAGAUUGCUCUGUAAAAACAACCACCAAAAGGGCGUGAGAACUAUAAACAAUAGUUUCCAGUAGGUAAGCCGCCAGCCUCGGCGAAUUACACCACUAGGCUCAUGAUGUACUAAAUGAAAGCGAAAGCAGUAAUUGCAUGAUAUAUAAUUAUGCAAUGCUAACAGGUAAUGAGCAUGUAAGCAACAUGUAAUCAUAGUCUCAACAGUAAUAAAUCAACUGAAUAAUAGAUGCAUAGCAACUAUAUAAGCAUAACAUAAGUAUAAACGUGUAAGUAACUACUAUACACUGUAACUGGUAGUCAUUUAUUACUGUCCAAUUUUCUUUAGCACUUUUCUUUCAUUCACAGGGAUCUACUCAAGGUAGUCCAGCUUGCGCCGCGCCUAAUGGCCCCGUGGUAGUAUACACUCCCCACGGCAAUCCACUUCGGCACCCAAUCCCGCACGGGCGAGCAACUGUCGCGUAGGCCAACUCCGGAGUGCCGGCUUGUAGGGAGCUACCCUCACAAGCAUGUGCGAAUGAGCACGAUGGCAAGCAAGCAAAGUCCACAAUCCAACAUAUCUCAACUAGCACAAUUAAGCUCACAAUAUUCUCGCUCUCGAUCCUUUGAACGGAAUUUCAAUACACAAAGAGUAACAAGAUCUAGUAUCCACUAGAUUGUAAACAUGUAAGAG